Molecule: ribosomal RNA, 460 nt
Filed under: uncultured bacterium
Lineage: Bacteria
Description: partial 16S ribosomal RNA
Rfam family: Bacterial small subunit ribosomal RNA
Source: RNAcentral
CCUACGGGACGCAGCAGUGAGGAAUAUUGGUCAAUGGACGCAAGUCUGAACCAGCCAUGCCGCGUGCAGGAAGACGGCUCUAUGAGUUGUAAACUGCUUUUGUACGAGGGUAAACGCAGAUACGCGUAUCUGUCUGAAAGUAUCGUACGAAUAAGGAUCGGCUAACUCCGUGCCAGCAGCCGCGGUAAUACGGAGGAUUCAAGCGUUAUCCGGAUUUAUUGGGUUUAAAGGGUGCGUAGGCGGUCGGAUAAGUUAGAGGUGAAAUCCCGAGGCUCAACUUCGGAAUUGCCUCUGAUACUGUUCGGCGAGAGAGUAGUUGCGGUAGGCGGAAUGUAUGGUGUAGCGGUGAAAUGCUUAGAGAUCAUACAGAACACCGAUUGCGAAGGCAGCUUACCAAGCUACUUCUGACGUUGAGGCACGAAAGCGUGGGGAGCAAACAGGAUUAGAUACCCGAGUAGUC